Molecule: ribosomal RNA, 492 nt
Filed under: uncultured bacterium
Lineage: Bacteria
Description: partial 16S ribosomal RNA
Rfam family: Bacterial small subunit ribosomal RNA
Source: RNAcentral
AGUGAACGCUGGCGGUAGGCCUAACACAUGCAAGUCGUACGGCAGCACAGUAAGAGCUUGCUCUUACGGGUGGCGAGUGGCGGACGGGUGAGGAAUACAUCGGAAUCUACUUUUUCGUGGGGGAUAACGUAGGGAAACUUACGCUAAUACCGCAUACGACCUACGGGUGAAAGCAGGGGAUCUUCGGACCUUGCGCGAUUGAAUGAGCCGAUGUCGGAUUAGCUAGUUGGCGGGGUAAAGGCCCACCAAGGCGACGAUCCGUAGCUGGUCUGAGAGGAUGAUCGGCCACACUGGAACUGAGACACGGUCCAGACUCCUACGGGAGGCAGCAGUGGGGAAUAUUGGACAAAGGGCGCAAGCCUGAUCCAGCCAUACCGCGUGGGUGAAGAAGGCCUUCGGGUUGUAAAGCCCUUUUGUUGGGAAAGAAAAGCAGCAGGUUAAUACCCCGCUGUUCUGACGGUACCCAAAGAAUAAGCACCGGCUAACUUCGUG